This 338-nucleotide ribosomal RNA is filed under the name uncultured Caryophanales bacterium. Its description in RNAcentral is "bacterial SSU rRNA". It matches the Rfam family "Bacterial small subunit ribosomal RNA", at positions 20 to 353 of the family's 1533-position model. The record is from RNAcentral. Lineage: Bacteria; Bacillati; Bacillota; Bacilli; Caryophanales.
UGGCUCAGAACGAACGCUGGCGGCGUGCCUAAUACAUGCAAGUCGAGCGGACUUAAAAAGCUUGCUUUUUAAGUUAGCGGCGGACGGGUGAGUAACACGUGGGCAACCUGCCUGUAAGACUGGGAUAACUUCGGGAAACCGGAGCUAAUACCGGAUAAUCCUUUUCUACUCAUGUAGAAAAGCUGAAAGACGGUUUACGCUGUCACUUACAGAUGGGCCCGCGGCGCAUUAGCUAGUUGGUGAGGUAACGGCUCACCAAGGCGACGGUGCGUAGCCGACCUGAGAGGGUGAUCGGCCACACUGGGACUGAUUCACGGCCCAGAGGAAUACGGGAGGCA